This 253-nucleotide ribosomal RNA is filed under the name uncultured bacterium. RNAcentral's name for it is "partial 16S ribosomal RNA". It matches the Rfam family "Bacterial small subunit ribosomal RNA", at positions 524 to 776 of the family's 1533-position model. The record is from RNAcentral.
UACGUAGGUGGCAAGCGUUGUCCGGAAUUAUUGGGCGUAAAGCGCGCGCAGGCGGUCCUUUAAGUCUGAUGUGAAAGCCCACGGCUCAACCGUGGAGGGUCAUUGGAAACUGGGGGACUUGAGUGCAGGAGGGAAGAGUGGAAUUCCACGUGUAGCGGUGAAAUGCGUAGAGAUGUGGAGGAACACCAGUGGCGAAGGCGAGUCCCUGGACAACACCUGACACUGAGGCACGAAAGCUAGGGGAGCAAACAGG